AUAAUAAUGGGAUAUAAUAAUAGUAACAGAAUAUGAUGAUAAUAAUAUGGCAAUAGAAUAAUAGUAUAAAAUAAUCAGUUUCAUGGCAUAGGAUAGGAAGAUGAGAGGAGAAUCCCAAUGCGUCCUGUACCUUUAAGGAGCGAAAGCAGCAGGACGAAAGCCCUCUUCCUUCCCUCCCUCCCACCCUCCCUUGCCCUGGCUCCAGGAGCCAAUCAGAAGCCUCUGGGAAGCAAGGCAGCAUGGCCAGGAGGGAGACGGAAGGAAGGAAGAAACGGCAGCAGCCACGGAAGGUUUUUCAAGCCUCGGCUGGGGGACAGGCAAGGCAAGGCAGGCAGGGAGGGAGGCACAGAAAGCAAGCACUUUCCCUCCCUCCCUCUGGUGUGUGUAUGAGUGCUGCUUUAGCCCUGCAGCCAUGCUUCCCAAUGGAACUCUGCUGCAGCCUCAGUUGCUAGGUCUUACUUUCAGGGGAGGCCUUAUAUUUGGCAAUCCCCCCAAACCCCUGCUAGGUCUUAUUCUUUGGGGAGGUCUUAUUUUCGGGGAAACACGGUAGGAGAUGUCUACGGAGAAUGCUGGCUCUUUGGCUUAGCAAUGGAGAUGAGCACCCACAGAGUCGGGCACGACUAGACUUAAUGUCGAGAGGAAACCUUUACCUUUACCUUAAUAACACACAAACCAGUUAAAGCAUCAGUUUAAAGGAAAAUACAUGGUCAGUGCAUAUUAAAACAACCAGCACCUAAUUUAAAAUUCCUGUUUUAAGAUUCAUAAUUUAAUGAAUGGCAGCCACUAGGAUAAAACUGACUAAAUGGAUUGCCCUUGCCUCCAGGAAAGGUUACGUCUCCCACCUCUGAAUGAAAUGACAAAGUGGAACAGAGUAACAAAUGUAAUGCAUUCAUUCCUAUUUGUUUAGCCAGGCUUUCAUUUUAUAAUGAAUCAAAAGUGAACUAAGUAAGUCCCAUUUUAAUCCAUUUUUUUAAAAAAAAAUCAUUUCAAAUUGUAUAAUUCUGUAUGUUCCAAAGAACUUGCUGUUCCAUUUCCCUCAGUGACUGAAAACUCUGGUCUGGUCCUUUUUUUGGAGGAAAAUUAGGGUGAAGUGAAGAAUCAAGGAAAGCAGAGUUUAUUGAAAAACCGCAAAACAGCGAAUCCGCAAAAAGCAAACCGAGAAGUAGAACAAGAAGGAUAAAGACAAGGGGCAAAUUGUCUACGUAGUGGAGAAUGGAGAGUGUGAAGCAGAUGAAAAGUAUCUGGCUAUGUGAUUAUAGUCAGAUGAACAAUUACAAUAUCAUCCGAGAAGACCUUCUGAGGACCAUUGGAAGCUGCUGGGGGAUUUCUUCUUCAUUCUGCAUCUGGCUGCAGUUACAUAGACUUGACUUUACCCAUUUCUGACUCUCCACUGACUGCUAUAUAGCCACAUUGAGUGGGGGACACAGCACAAAAGGUGGUUUUUCAGGGUGGCAAUGAACACUAUGUAUCUUGAUUUAGAUGGGUAGAUGAAACAAUUGCCUCUCUGUUUCAAAAGGUCUUGGGCUGGCCCUGCCGUUCUGGUUUAGGUCAGACCUGCUUAAGCUGGCAAAAGCAGGCCUUUUUUACUCAUUAGAUUUCCACCUGAGCACAUCUGAUUUCUGCACAAACUCUUCCUUCCUACUGGAAACCUCUCCAAGCAGCUAAUCCUGUUGCUAAGCCUUUUUAUAUACACAUCUGGAUGAGAAUUUCUUCUCCUAGUUUAGAUAUUUCCAGCCUUGGAAGGCAAUUGCUAUCCACCUAUCACCAAGCAUUUCCUAAGGUUGAUUAAACGCACAAAGCUUCAACCAAAGCAAGAUUUCCCAGCAGGGCCAGACAAUAUGAAAAGGCCAUUAGCUCUGCCAUUGAACAGCAUGCUAACUACUCUUGCAUUUCCUCUUGGGGCCGACUAGUCUCUAGAUAACACAAAUCUGCAGAAGUGUGAUAACGGUAUCGUUCUGCAAUUUGAGUUUUCUUUUACUACAAAUGGCAUUUUCCCUUAUUAUUCAAACCAAUUAAUGAAAGAAGAAACUCCUCUUUGCAUUUUGCUAUAAGCCAUCAUCCACUGGAGAACAUUGCUUGAUCAUAUUGGUAGGUUUGUCUGUCUUCUAUCUAUCUAUCUAUCUAUCUAUCUAUCUAUCUAUCUAUCUAUCUAUCUAUCUACCAAUCUAUAUGUUACUAUUGACCUAUUAUAAAUGGAUAGGUGCUUGCACAAAUGUUUGUGUAUGUAUACAUAAGACUAUAUACAUAUAUACAUGCUGAAAUACACACAGACAGUUACACACACACUUCCCCCUUUCCUUUUUUCCCAUUUGUUUUAAGGGAUUUUAUAAAAUCCCUUGAAUUAAUUUUCAUCACAGCAAUGGCUUUAAUGAGAACUCUUGACUGUAAUCAUUCCCAGCUAAAUAUUCCCCGUGAUCAAUCAAAACGGUAGAACCAAUUUUCUCCCCGUCACUUUUGAUUUUUCCAAUAAAAAUGAGUAUUCUACUGCCUCUCCUUUGGGAUUUGUCCUCACAGAAACUGUCACUUGGCUUGCGUUGGUGCCUUUUGAGGAAUGGUACACAAACUGUGACAAGCUGACAUACAAGCUGUGUGGAAAUGAAUACCAAUUGAUUGUGUAGAUGGGUGUUUGUGUGAGUGAGCAAGACAGAGAGAAGCAAGGCCUAACAAAACCUGUUACCACUCCAAAAAACAAUGAGGAAGACAGACUAUGGCCAGGAUCCCAUUGUGUUCUUACAACUUUGUAAAUGGAUUUUGCAACUGCAGGAGUUAGAACUGGGCAGUUUGGUGACAUACAUAUUCAGUAGAGGACUCACGUUACACUACUGUGUAGCAGAGCUGGCAAAAUUACCAAUGCAAAAUGAUGCAGAAUGAUAAGGCAUUGCAUCAGUCAUGAUGCACAUUGCAUCAAUCUUGUGUAUAUCAGGCAUUCUAGGCUGUGUCCUCUUAUACGCAAUUCAGUAAAGGGAUUUUGUAAGUGCCUCUGCUAAUAGUAGGUAUAUGUAAAGUUAUGUAACAUAACCGGUCAUAUAGGAUUCUGGUGUUAUGUCUGUCCAUCAUGAAGAUAUGCAAAGAUAAAUGGAUAACAAGAGAAAAUGACUUGAACUUUCCUGGUUGACCUUUCAAGACUUGACAGGAAAUAGCUUUUUCCCUAGUGCUCACUGAGAGAAAUAUCAAAAGAGAAUUCUUGAUAAUAGGCUGAAGUAACGGGGAUUUUUGCCACUGAAUAUGGUGUUGGGUAUCGGGUGAAUAAGUAAGAUGAGCUUCUCGCAAAACGCCGACUGUAGUUCUAGGAAUCAGCACAGCUUUGCAAAGAUGACUGAUUCCUUCAAAAUAUGGUAGGAUGCAAGACUCAGCAUCCCAAAUCUUUGUAUGUAUUGUUCAAUCUGAAUCAAACAAUCCAAGUAAAUAAAGCGGCCUGCCCAAACAAUCUAUUUUUCUGAAUAGCAACUAGUAGACAUAUUGUGAGCUUUUGAUAUAUUAAAAAAAUUACUGGCAGUUCCCAUAAAAACUGCACACGAGUCAACUGACAUCUAAAGAUUUACAAAAUCUCCACCAUCUCACCACACUUCCUCCCUCUGCCAUUUGGUAUUUGGUCUAUCAAGUCUACAAAUUUCAUUAUAGUUUGAUUAUUGGGGUGGGCAAGAGAAUUAUAACUAUUUGUAGAUUUCCAAUGACAAUCAAGGAGUGUCACAAAAAUUUAGCGUUUACAUUUUGUUGGCCAUUGUGGAACUAGUGUGCUGGACCUUUUUGUCUAUAGUGGCAUCAUACUUCUUAUAUUCUUACUGCCAAGUGUGAAUGAUCUGUUUCUAUAUCACAUUUCUUCCUUGCUUGUAUAAGAAUAUUAUUUAUGACAAAAUGCAUCAUCUAGCUUGAUUCCUUGAGGUUGGGAUAUGAUGGAUGUAGGGAAGAUGAUGCCUGAAAAAGUGAUUGUGGUCUAUAACACUGAUGUAUUCCCAAGUGUGCUUGGCAGAAACCUCUUGGCAUCACAAAGAGACUGUGACAUGUUAAGAAUAAUACAGUCCUAGAACAAGAUAUGAGUCUGCUGAUCUUUGCAUGAUAGUUUACAACCAAAUCAUCAUGUGGUUAUAGGAGGAAACAGCUGUGGAAACAAUGUGGUAUUGACUGAGCAAAUGUUGACUUCUUUAUGGCAUGCAAAUUGUCGGCAUACUAGCAGGAGGCCUGCUUCCAGCUUGGUAUCUGUAAUGGACCCUGACAGGAACCAACUGUGCUCUAGUUAUCUUGGUGGCCAUAAUAAAGUAAAUCUGCGCGAAGCAAGUCUACCGUUAAUUGGGAGGCCAAAGUUACAGCAGUCAAAGAUAAGGCAUCAGAAAACACUUCCUCCCCUUUCUUGAUCUGCUUCCCUUUCCUCUUCUUUAAGUUCAGUUGUGGAAAAACUAGUCAUUAGUACAAAUUGAGACUCAUAAAGUAUGGGUUGGGCAGGAGCUAGAGAAGGGGAAUGAACCUUGUGAUUUUGCACAGCAAGUUGGAAAAUGUUAUAACAGCUUUGAAGGUUAGUGAUGAAUUGUGUCUUUCUCAGAUUUGCCUUCAUUCUUUUAUUAAAAAGGAAGAGCACAGAAUCAAUUCCAAUCUCAGUUGAGCCCCCUUCUGGAGUUUUCUUCAUAAACUGAACUGCAGCAAUAAUAAAUUGUGUUGCUUUAACUCAUUUGAAGGCACUGGGCACAAUUUUCAGAUGAGUUGUUUGCUGAGGCCUUCUCACAUUCAGUUUUCUCAUGCGUGGACAAAUCAGGUGCUAGCUACACAUCAAAACUAUGAAUGUGAGGUCUGUUGACUUAUAACAUUUUUAAAGCAAGGAAUACUCAGAGUCAGUUUUGCCAACUCAUUUCUUUUAAAUAUAGCAUACAUCACCAGGUAUUUGUUGGCAUUUCACUAUCCAACUAGUAACCGGGGAUAACCCUGCUUAGCUUCCAAAAUCAAACAAGAUCUGGUCCCUUUGGGGGUAUUUAGGCAGACAAAUAUAAACUGCACAUUAAAACUGAGCUCCUCAUACCUUUUUAUUGGAUUCUACCUUAACUAUUUGGAAGGUGAACUGGCUGCGCAGGGAACAGAAUGGGGACUAUAUAGUUGAAUCAAACAAAAAUUAUUUAACUGACAAGAAUUUUAAACUUAUCUCUUCCUGGGUCUCAUUUCCAAGUCUUUGUGAGGAGAGGUAAAGUCUUUGAGAGAUAGACACAAUUCUGGCUGAACUGAGGCUCUUGAAUCUGUUUCUUCUUAUUGUCUCUUUCUUGUAUAGUGUUCAGCUGUCUCUAAGAUGGUCUCAAUAUUUAACUCUGACUGAACUUGAAUAAAAACCACACGCCACCAAAUGAAUAGGUGACUAUUGUUCUAAUAAUGUUUGAUAAGGAUUCCUGUUAUUCUGUAAUGGAGAUGAUUUGAUGCAUGUUAUUUUGAUACCAGUGUGGUAUAUUAUAUACCAGAAUGGUGUGAUUGUUUGAGCACUGAACUAUGAUUCUGGAGACCAGGGUUCAGCCAUCUACCAGGACCUUGAGCAAUUCACACACACACACACACACCAGCCUCAGCCCUGUGAUAGGUUCACCUUAGGGUCACCACAAGUCGGAAAGAACUUGAAGGCACACCACAACAAUGUUGUUUUGGAAUUAAAAGCUUAUGAGUUUUGGAGAAGCUGUAGCAGCAACAAGCUGUUUCUGAGAUUGGAGAACUUGUCAGUUCCAACCUAUGCUGAGAAAGAGUAAGAGUUUUAGUUGUCCCUCUCUUUUGAUUUGCCAAACUUGUUAUUGAGAUACAGUAGAGCACUAUUCAGCUCAUGUUCUGCUGGCAGGCUUUCUCUGGGCAACUAAUUGGCUGCUAUGUGAACAGAAUGUUAGCCCAGAUGGGUCUUUGGUCUGAGCUCUUCUGACUGUUUUUUAUUACCUUGUUGAUUAAAGACCGUGUUCUUCUGUCCAGACCAAUAAUGGCAAUCCAAACCCAGAUGCAGGUUUCUGUUGAUAGAUCUUCUUGCUGACAAGCAGGCUCCUCAUGAAGGACAGGCGUUCAGAGGCCAGUUUCAAGGUAGCCAUCUCUGCAGUGUAUGAAUAACAUCAUGUAUCCAACACCUGUCUUUCCAUAUUUGACUUGCACAGAUAUAACCAUCUUGGGUUAUACAGCAAAACAACUGUGCUCAGCUCCUUUUGGAGAGAGUAAUGAUGCAAAUCCCCAUCUAUUCCCCAUCUAUUUUGUAUUUAUAUACAAAUUACUAGGACAUGAUAUGCUAGGAUGAGUUACCAUCCAACUGUCCCGAUUUGGCAAGAAAAGUCCCCAUUAUAUAGUUAUAUGUUGAAAUUUAUGUUUCAUAAUAAAAAAAAUUGUAAUUGCCUUGGUAUCCUUACAGAGCCUGUUCACUGAAUGUUCACCAACCAAAUUUAAAUGCUUCCUUUCCUCACCUAGGAUAUUAUCUCUUGCUGCCCCCACCACAAUUUCUAGACACUUUGAAAACAGAGAGAUAACAAUGUAUGACGGAUCCCUUCCCACAACGCAGGAGACUUCCUGUCUGCAUCAUAAAGAAAAUGUUAAGAAAAUGUCUCAGGAAAGUGUCUGAGAACGGGGAUGAUAAAACACAAUAUUUGAUUGUCUUCUCUCCUGCCCCCUGAUCAUCAUCUCUCCUUGGGCCAGGAGAGAAAAUGAUCAGCUAUUGUCUUCUGAAUUCAGGAAUCAGUAUAUAGCUGGAGAAAUAGCAAAAAAAAAUGUGGGAUGAGAGCUGUCAAAUUUGCCCGUGAUUAACCGCUUCAACAACAUGGAGUAAUGGGCAUUCCUGUGGGUGGUUCCUUACCAUGCAUUGACAUUUCUUUCCCAAAGUUCUGCUUCAAGAACCUGGCAUGGUAAUUUUUAAAUUAAAUCAUUCAAAAUACUAUAAUUUCAAAAUAUCUUUGUUUUCCCUGUCUGUAUUGCUAGCUUUUUAAGUUUUGGACUUCUUCAAUGAAGAGUACUGAGAUUGGGAGAGAAGCUCAGUAUCCCCAGAGUGGUGUCUCCUUAAGAUCAGAAACUCCAGGUGGUUCAAAAUAUGGCAGCCUAGUUAGUUACGGGAAUAUCCAAGAGUGACCAUAUCACACUUAUCCUAAAGUCACUCUACUGACUGCCAAUUAUUUCUGGGCAAAGUACAAGGUGUUGGGUUUGACUUUUAAAGCCCUAGAUGGUUUGGACCAGGUUACCUACAUGAUCGCUUUCUCCCAUACAAUCUGCCCUGAACACUUCAAUCCUCUGGGGUACUCCAACCAGCUAGAACUUGAAUGGCAACCACCACCCAGAAGACCUUGACAUCAGCUGUCUCAAGGCUAUGGAAUAACCUUCUGGAAGAGCUCCAACAGCUAAACGAACUGUUAGAAUUUAAAACCCAUCUAAAGACCUAUCUUUUCCAGUAGGCCUACCCAGCCAGUUUUAAGCAUAAAUUUUAAAAUCUGUGUCAUGUGUUUUAAUCUCUGUACUGUGUAUUUAACAUGUAUUUUAUAGAAAUACAUUUUAAUAUGUAUAUUUUAUAAAACAUUUUAAUAUGUUUUAUAACAUUUAUAGAAUGUUUGCUAUGUUUGUGUAUUUUGACUGUGCUGUGAUCAGCCUCGAGCCAUGAGGAGAUGUGGGAAAGAAAUACAAUUAUUAUUAUUAUUAUUAUUAUUAUUAUUAUUUGAAACACAACAAGAUGAGUCCACAGCAGACACUCUGCUGGCUGUUGUAUUGGAUCACACGCCGGACUAGGACUGUGUGAUGUAUCGGCGAAUAAUGUGUGCAGAUCCCAGUAAGGUGGCCUUCUGCAGCUGGCAGGUGGUAAUUUUGUCAGCGUUGAUUGUGUUUAGUGCAGGCCAAGGUCUUUAGGCACUGCACCCAGUGUGCCGAAUAAUUACCACUGGGACCACCUUGACUGGCUUGUGCCAGAGUCUUUGUAAUUUGAUCUUUAAAUCCUCAUAUCGUGUCAGCUUUUCCAGUUCUUUCUCCUCAAUCCUGCUGUCACCAGGGAUUGCUACAUCGACAAUCCAUACUUUGUUUUUUAACACAAUCAUGAGGUCCAGAAUAUUAUGCUCCAAACCUGUCUGUCUGAUUUCAGAAGUCCCAGAGUAGCUUGACAUGUUCUUUCUUUGUAACUUUUUCCGGCUUGUGAUCCCACCAGUCCUUUGUUAUUAUCCCAAGUCCAGUCUCUGCAGGCACUCGAUUUACUGCUAAGCCUACACUGAAAUAAAAUGAUUUUAACUCUG
Molecule: long non-coding RNA, 8198 nt
Organism: Anolis carolinensis (green anole)
Lineage: Eukaryota; Metazoa; Chordata; Lepidosauria; Squamata; Anolidae
Exons: 3
Source: RefSeq, a predicted model, not a curated record